Molecule: ribosomal RNA, 497 nt
Filed under: uncultured bacterium
Lineage: Bacteria
Description: partial 16S ribosomal RNA
Rfam family: Bacterial small subunit ribosomal RNA
Source: RNAcentral
GAUGAAUGCUGGCGGCGUGCCUAAUACAUGCAAGUCGAGCGAACAGACGAGGAGCUUGCUCCUCUGACGUUAGCGGCGGACGGGUGAGUAACACGUGGAUAACCUACCUAUAAGACUGGGAUAACUUCGGGAAACCGGAGCUAAUACCGGAUAAUAUAUUGAACCGCAUGGUUCAAUAGUGAAAGACGGUUUUGCUGUCACUUAUAGAUGGAUCCGCGCCGCAUUAGCUAGUUGGUAAGGUAACGGCUUACCAAGGCAACGAUGCGUAGCCGACCUGAGAGGGUGAUCGGCCACACUGGAACUGAGAAACGGUACAGACUCCUACGGGAGGCAGCAGUAGGGAAUAUUCCGCAAUGGGCGAAAGCCUGACGGAGCAACGCCGCGUGAGUGAUGAAGGUCUUCGGAUCGUAAAACUCUGUUAUUAGGGAAGAACAAAUGUGUAAGUAACUAUGCACGUCUUGACGGUACCUAAUCAGAAAGCCACGGCUAACUACGUG